Molecule: ribosomal RNA, 253 nt
Filed under: uncultured bacterium
Lineage: Bacteria
Description: partial 16S ribosomal RNA
Rfam family: Bacterial small subunit ribosomal RNA
Source: RNAcentral
UACAGAGAGUGCGAACGUUGUUCGGAAUUACUGGGCUUAAAGCGCACGUAGGCGGCAUCGUAAGUGUCCGGUGAAAUCCCACGGCUCACCCGUGGAACUGCCUGGCAGACUGCGAUGCUCGAGUGUGGUAGGGGAGAGCGGAACUCCUGGUGGAGCGGUGAAAUGCGUAGAUAUCAGGAGGAACACCGGUGGCGAAGGCGGCUCUCUGGUCCAUGUCUGACGCUGAGGAACGAAAGCCAGGGGAGCAAACGGG